CCGCUCUGGACAGCUUCACGCCUGCUGUGGAUGUGGUGCCGUCCUCCUCCGUCUGCUCCCCGUCUCUCUCCACCGUGGACUCCGUCCCAGAGUAGCUCAGCUGCACUGAGGCCGCCAUGGCGCAGAUCUCGUCCAGCAGGAAGGAGAAACAGGACAAAAGUUUACCAAGGCUGAACAUCAUCCAGAGUUUUAACCAACGGACCUGGGGUUCACUUAAUGUUCCACAGACUAUCACCUACUCUUAUCUGCUGGAUGAGAGAGAGCCCGUCUUUCCUCAUUGUGUUCUGUCUUUUUAGAUCGGCAUCAAGUCUGGGCUUGGGCUGAGGUGGAACUUUGGUGUUGGCCGGAGGCUGCUGAAGCGACUGGGGCAGAGCGUCUCCAGAGUCUUUAGACGGCAGGUUGCACAUCUCACACUCGGCACUGGGUUUAGUGUUUAGGAAGGUGCAGAAAUGGCAAGUCCACUGGGAUGACACAGAUGAACACGAAUGGUCAGUGGGACGAGGAGACAGCAAGUAGCUUAAGAAGCUGUAAAGGCAGGAGAUCACAAACGUUUGUUCCAGAGUCAGGGUCAGAUCCAGGACUGGCGAGAACGGCUGCAGGCGGGCGAGUGGCCAGACGGGGGCGCUCACACACCUCACACAGUAUGCUGCUGCCCUGAUUCAUGACGGUGCAGCUCCUGCACUGCCACUCUGAGGGAACCAGCAGCCACACGUCAGCCUCAUGCAGUGACUUGUAAUACCAGGUCUGACGUAGAAGGACUUUAACUUCCCAACCUGUGUUCAGUGACGAGGGGUUCUCCUGAACAGUGGACGCAGCGGUGGCGAGUCGGGGCCGUUCGCAGGUGGAGCAGAGAACAGCCCGCAUCUCGUUCACUGUGGUGCAGUGAGCACAUUCCCAGGGCGACAGAGAAGGGCUGCAAAACAACACAGCACUCACAGCUACACGAACAAGUAUCUCCUCGUUCUCAUUAAGCUGCUGGUUUUGCAGAACAAAUCACUGAUUCUAUGCAUCUUUGCUGCUUCUUGCAGAAAACUGAUGCGGUGUCAUGUGAGGUGAGCAGGACGCUGUAAUGUCUGGAAGUUACUUCCGGUCGGCCUCACCUGGACGUCUUUGCCGGUGUGAUAACGGAUCUGUUGUGAGCUCUGCGGUCAGGGUGAGAGUGGAAGAGUCUGUCACAGUUCAGACACAGCCCCUGGGAGCAGCUGGAGCACUGAGCGUGGACAGCAGAGAUACCACAGAUGCUGCAGGGAUCUAGAUGAGAAUGAAACCUUGAGACUUUAAACCAGACAGAAAGUCAGCGUUGGGUGGUUUUCUUGCAUUUCACCCUGCUCCACUGCUGCGUACCCUGCUUGGCUUUUGGGGUCUUGUCUCUUUUGUGGCUGCUUCUCGAGGGGUGGCGGUGGCACAGGUCAUCGCAGGCAUCGCAGAAGGAUUGGUUGUCACAGGACGAACAAAUCACGGUCGACACGCUGCCACACAGAUGACACUGACCCACGGUCGAAGAGUCUGGACACGAAACAGACCGAGUCUAUUCAGCUUUGGAGUAAACUAUGAAUAGUCAAUAAAUAAAACUGGAGUACGGCCCAAUAAGGCAGGACUGAGUUUAACAUCACGUUUGCUGCUCUGUACUUUAAUGUUAAUCUUCACUUCUACAACCAACUUCUGAACUAAAUGCUGACCUGUUACAGUUUUUCUCAGUCGCUUUAGUGCAAUUCUCAGAUCAGAAUAAAAUUCUCAAAACUAUUUGUUCAAUCUUCACAUCAUGAUGUCACGUGUGCACAUCAUAUAAGCAGUUUCUCACUACUUUGAACAAGUUGCAAAUGCUUUGGUACAUCCAUUUAUAUGUUUAUGUACAAUUCCCAGCUCUUUAUCAAUUACUACAUUAUCAAUUGCUUAUGUCAUCUUGAUCAAAAUGUAUUAUAUAGUUCACUGUGCAAUAGUCUUACUCCUUAAAACAUCUAGUCAGUAGUUCAUCGUAUAAGUCAUUAACUGCAAAAUGGUUGACCAAGUUAUCAUAAAGUGACAAACAUAUUUCUAUACAUCUCCAUUAUAUGUUUUUUUCAAAAUCUGUCCUGAAUUGGUAAAUUGCUCUCAGGUGACUUGACUUCCUCUAACAAAGGUGCAUCUCAUUGACAAUCAAUGGGCAAGUAUAUAUAUGGCUGAAGCACAACACAAUGUUCUAUGUCUGACAAUGCAAGGACAAGGAAUUGGACGGGGUCAACAGCCAGAGAGAAGAAGAGGAAGAGCAGUGAGGCUGCGUGGUGGAGGAGUUAGUGGGCAAAACCGAGGAAGAGGCCGAAGACAUGUAUGUGUUCCUGAUGAGAUAAGAGCCACACUUGUAGACCAUGUUGUCCACCAUGGGCUUACACUGAAUGAGGCUGGUAGAAGGGUGCAGCCAAAUGUUGGGAGAACAACUGUGUUCUCAAUCAGUCAGACCUUUCGUCGAGAGAACAGGACUGCAAGACAACUUCACAGGGGCGGCAAAGGGGCCCUUUUCACUGCUCAACAGAAGGAGGCUAUUUGCACCACGGUCGUAGAAAACAAUGCGAUAAGACUAAGGGAGAUAAAGGGAGUGCCAUUAUAGAGGACAACAACAUAUUUGUCAAUGGUUGAGAUGCUGACUGUUUGGAUAUUUGCAGAGUGCUCAAAAGACCCCAGAUGAAAAUGAAGCAGCCUUACACUGUUCCAUUUGAAAGAAAUGGUGAAAGAGUGAAGGAACUACACUACCAGUUUGUACAGCGUAUGAUAUACGUAUAACUUGAAGCAAGUGAAGAGCCGCACAGCUUCAUCUACAUGGAUGAGGCUGGCUUCAACCUAACAAAAUGCAGAAGGCGUGGCCGAAAUAUCAUCGGCUACAGGGCUACAGUUGAUGUGCCAGGCCAACAGGGCGGGAACAUAACCAUGGGUGCUGCCAUCUCUGACAAUGGUGUGCUUACUCAUAUUCCCAUAACCUUUCUAGAAACUCUCUACAGAGAUCUCAUCCCUGAAGAAGAGAGGGGUCAGAGUGGAGAUCACCUGCCAACGUAUGUGAUAGUUUGGGACAAUGUGAGUUUUCAUCACUCAAACAUCAUCAGGCAAUGGUUUGCAGCCCACAACAGGAUGCGGAUGGAGUUCAUUUCACCCUACUCUCCAUUCCUUAACCCUAUUGAGGAUUUUUUCUCAGCAUGGAGAUGGAAAGUGUAGAUCGCCAGCCACAUACACAAAUGACCCUCCUGGCUGCCAUGGAUGCUGCAUGUGAUGACAUCACAGCAGAGGCUGGAUAAUACACGCUUAAAGAUUCUUUCCACACUGCAUUGCAAGAGAGGAUAUUCGCUGUGAUGUGGAUGAGAAUUUGUGGAACAUACAGGAACGACAAGAGAUGUAGGAAGACCACACCAAUUCCUACAGCACUGCCUGUACUGUUAUAAAGAACAUUGUCCUAUCUUUUUUUUCCCUUUGUUACUGUUUGCAGUGGUUUUUUUCUAUGUUGGUAUGACACGGUCUGUCAACAAAUUACAAUAUAAACACAAAGUGUAAACGUGAAUCUUGUCCAGUCUCUUG
Molecule: long non-coding RNA, 3540 nt
Organism: Betta splendens (Siamese fighting fish)
Lineage: Eukaryota; Metazoa; Chordata; Actinopteri; Anabantiformes; Osphronemidae
Exons: 4
Source: RefSeq, a predicted model, not a curated record